Long non-coding RNA from Paramisgurnus dabryanus, 286 nucleotides. RefSeq lists it as uncharacterized. NCBI's taxonomy places the organism in Eukaryota, Metazoa, Chordata, Actinopteri, Cypriniformes, Cobitidae. The record is from RefSeq and is a predicted model, not a curated record.
ACAGAUAACCAUGGUUAAUAAAUGGUCAGUAGAUGACACGUCACUGGCUUUAAAAUAUAAACCCCAUUGAUGCAAAAAGAUGCUGCAUGGAAUGACAAGGAGGUUUGGAACAGACUUGGUGAAGAACAUGGAAACAUCUCUAAAUAAAAUGGCCCCAAACAUCAUCAGGAGUGCAAAAGAAGGAAGUAAAAAACAUCUCUACGCCAAUCUCAUUGGAACAGCAGAGGAAAGCACAGAAGAAAGAAAGCCGUGAACGUUUGAAAUAACGAGAACCCAAAGGUCCCAC